Molecule: long non-coding RNA, 7433 nt
Organism: Megalobrama amblycephala (Wuchang bream)
Lineage: Eukaryota; Metazoa; Chordata; Actinopteri; Cypriniformes; Xenocyprididae
Exons: 4
Source: RefSeq, a predicted model, not a curated record
GUGUAAAACAGAAACCCAAUAUAAAAAUGAUAGAAAAUAACUUUUUAAAACAAGAUUUAAUUGUUGAUGAUAUUUUGAUGAUUUUCAUUUUGACAUUUUGAUGAUUUUUCUAAAUGAUCAGAUAAGGGUUUUUUUUUUAACAAUUUCAUAUCUGAGCUUCUGCAAUUUCAUGCACAAAAAUGUAUUAUAUGAAAAUGAUAUUUUAUUUACAUAUAUUUCCUAAAAAAAGAUUUUAUUAAUUUCCACAACUUUUCCAGAUGAUCAUAAUUAUGGGAUAAGAACUUUUAAAAAUCUAUUUCUAGCUGUGCACAUGUAAAAUAAUAAUAAUAAUAAAAAAAAAUCCUCUAUAAAAAUUAUAGAAAUUUAAAUUACUUUUUUUGUUACAUGAUUUUAAUAAUUUCUAUGACUUUUUCCAGUCGACAAUAAUUAUUGGAUAAGGAUUUUUAACACAUGCAGAAAAAAAUCUCAUAAUUUCAAUUAUUUUUUAAAAUAAGAUUUUAUUUCCAUAAUUUUUCCAGGCGAUCAUAAUUAUCAGAUAAGAUAACAAUUUCUUCUUCUUAUAUCUGUCUUGGCAAAGACAAUCAAAUCUCAGAGAAACUAAAACGUAUGCACUCAGUGCUCAAGAUGCCAUUCAUCCGAGUGGAAAAGGAAAACAAAUACUCAUGCCAGCUGCUGUUAUCAGUGAAACAGCAUUAGAUAUGGCUGAAGUUAGUAUGCAACAAUGUGCAUACGUCAUAGCGCAUACUUCACUGCGUCCUUGGCUUUUGCCGGGGGUCGUGAUCUCGUUCCUAUGGUUUCAUAAGCAAAUCCUUUCCACAAAUGGUAGCGACGUGCCUGAUUUAUUUGUCGAGUUUUGUAGGACGCAGGAAAAGCUCAGGUGAAGGAUGAGAGCAGGGAUCUUUAACCAACGCGGCGGACAGCACAAUAACUCAGUAUGAUUGAUUUAUGCGUGUGCUGUUUAGAGUUCUGUUUAAAAUCUGCACUAUUACACUUACCUUUGGCUCUCCCAAAGGAGCAAGCCAUGCAUUUUCAUGUUUACAGAGCGCAGGAUAGAAGUUAGAUCAUCUCAGGCUGUAUCACACUGGCUUUAAUGGGAUCUGUUGGGUAGCUAUUCUGGAACAAGUGGGCAGGAAAAAGUGGAACUAUUAGGAUUUUAUAAACGAGGUUCUCUGGGAUGCUUUUAAUAGUGGCUUAUCCAAUGCUCACCCCGUUUCCAGUAUAAUAUUUUAUUUUUCUAACCUCAUUGUGUUACUUUAACCAUAAACUUCAUUACAUUUUGUUACAAUUAUGCUAAAAAAACUAUUGGUUACAAAUACAAAAAUAUAAUUUUCACUCAAAAACAAGAUUUAAAGGCACACUAUGUAGUUUUCGCCUUUAGAGGUCACUUAUUUAAAACAAAGGCGUAGCUUGAUGACACUUUGUCUUCACGUCUACAGUCGGUGGAAAAGAAUCCGAUGAGACUUGGGCAGAAAUCACUAACAUUACUGUCGUAUGAAGCAGAGUGUGACGCACAGACACGGUCCGUGUCAAAUUGCAUAAAAUUCCUUAUUUCUCUGGAUUUAAACAUUCUUGGAAACAUUUGGCAUAAUCAUUUUCACUGCAUGGAGAAGCAGGUUUUGUUUUCCAAGAAUGUUCAGUGGAGGAGGACCGUUCUAUCCCAGAAUGCAUUGCUGUCAUCAUAUCCCUCUGUUACGGUUGUCAAGCGAGAGUGUGAACGAUAAGAAUGUGUGAAAACAAGGCACUCAACGCAGCUGAGAGAGGGGGCUGUCAGAUGCCACUCAGGCCAGACUCAGAGCCCUCAUCAUCCCCUAGUGGAUUAACACCUUCUGGCCUGGAUCUGCGCCGUGCGGCUGGCCCUCUCAUCUAUCUCGUUCAGGCCUCCAGAGGAAAGCGAGUCCAUGUUUCCGGCAAUCCAAAGCAACAUGGAGCAAGCGAGCGCUUCCAGAGACCCGGACAGAAAUUCGGUGUGAAAUGCGAGGGCUGUCUGCGUGUGUGAGGGAGCUGACAGGAUUUUAGGAGCGUGGAAAUGGAAAUAAGAAGCAGGCUUUGGAUGUGCCCGGCUGCCAUCCUGGAGGAAAGAUUGGUGUCUGUCGCAACUGGCCCAAUUUCAAAAUUGCCACGUCCGUUUACUCUCCAUCUUUAUUUACACAAAUCUGUUUUGUCACUCUCUCUUCACCAUUUGCCUGGACAGAUGCAUUAAAACACUCAAAACAAUCAAAUCCGAAGCGGCCGGUCGAGAUGGAGUUGAUUGACGAAUUGGCACGGCUUUCCCGGCAAACGUACUGUGAGACAAUGAAAAGCGCUUGUUGUGGCUGGAACGAACCAAACCAGCUCAUUGGAUUUCAGAGGCAGAGUGUGAUGAAUAAAUUGGACUAUUAAAUUCAUCUGAAUAUAAAUGUGAUAUAUUUAUCAUAAUAUUUGUCUUAUUUGAUAUAGUAGAUCUUAAUGUCAUUUAUCCAAUGGAAGAUUGUAGGGGAACAUCACAGGAAACAAUACAAGCAAUCAGGACUUUAGGGAAACUACCGACUCACAACAUUUUCUAGAAACAUUUAUUUGCCAGGCUUUAUAGAUUUGUUUUUUAGUUUUUAUUUAUGUUUUGCUGACUUGUAAGACCAGAGAUAAUAACUUAUCCAUUAGCAGCUCUGUAUGUUGUGUGCCAUAUGUUAUUGCAGCUAAAAAUAGCAAUUUUAUGGCUAGUGUGUUCAUAGACCACUGCAGCGAUGACCUACAUAUGAGUGAAUAUCAUGAAAAGGUCACAUUUCUCCUGAAAAUCAGAAGAAAAAAAUAAGAAACUACAUUUUCACAAAGAAAAUGGAUUUUUUUUUUUCAUGACAAUUAUACACAUUUCCGCUGUAAAACUGAGCUUUUUUUACCAUCAAUCUUAAUUAUUCUGAUUAAAUUCUCAGUCUACUAUCAAUAAAUGAUCUAAUUUAAAUCUGCAUAAUUAAAGGUAGCACAACAAAUACUACCAUGAUGUAUAAACAGUGUCAUGAAAAUAUUUUCACAAGGUAAAGCAUCUUAAAAAUCCUAAAAAUAGGCUGUGUUUUCAUUUAAGAAAAUAUAAUUAUUUCUUAUUUUCCCAGACACCUUAUUUACAGUUUUUAUGUAAUUCACAAAUCACAUUUUAAAAAAAUAUGUAGACAAUUUAAAAGAGGAUUAAAAAUCCUCAAACCAUUCUGAAUGGAGCAUUGUUUGUGUAAAUACAGUCAAAUGGGGCACCUUGAUCUCAAAUGGAGCACUCUAGAUUUUUAGAAAGGGCACCGCUGAUCCAAAAGCCCCAUGACGUAAUCAGCCAUUUUCAAUCUAUAUAUCCUCAUAACAUCUGGAUAAUAUAUGAUGUCUACACAUUUCAUUUACACCCAGCAACAGAAAUAUGACUCUGUUAGACAGACAGAAAUCCGAUUGCAUCCAUCUAGCUUUAAUCAUGUUACAUGCAAAUCCGCAAGGUCUAAUCUACUUUAGGAGCCACAAAAAUUGUCACUAUAUGCAUUUAUAUAAUGUUAAAUAGAUCUUUAUAUAAUUUAGGUACAUUAGAACUAGUGAGAGACAUUGGCAACAUCAGAAACACUUGAACUCUUUGUAGCGUAUUUCUCCCCAUAGUGAACUCUCUUAAAAUGGUAUGGUCCUUAAAGGUUCUUUAUUUAUAUUAAUAGUUAGUGUAAUGGAGGCCAGCUAGUAAAAAGCUGUGUAGGUAAACAUCACCCCUUGGCCUCAAGAGGCGCACUAGUGAAUUACACUACAGGGAAAACCCACCUGGUUUGAAUCCUGCUAGGAGUGGGUGCGAGUAGGACCUGUUGCAUUGGUGCGGUGACCCGGAUGGGAGUGAGGUUUAGGAGGGUGAGUGUAGCAGGCUCAAUAGGCGAACUAGCGACUGACACUACAGGGCUGAGGUCUUUAGAUUCCUUCUUAGCACAUCUGCCUCCCAUGCUGGUUUGAAUCCUGCUCGGAGCAUGUACGGGUAGGACCUGUUGCAUGGGUGCCGUGACCCGGAUGGGAGUGAGGUUUAGGAGGGUGAGUGUAGCACCCUCAAGAGGCAAACUAGCGACUGACGCUACAUAGCUGCAGUCUUUAGCAUCCUUUUAGCGUGUCCACUUCUCAUUCCCAUGCCGGUGAUGCCGUUUUGAAUUCCGCUCAGAGCGGGUGCAAGUAGGAUCUGUUACAUUGGUGCCAUGACCCGGAUGGGUUUGAGGUUUAGGAGGGUGAGUGUAGUGGCCUCAAUAAGCAAACUAGCAACUGAUGCUACAUAGAUGCGGUCUUUAGCAUACUUUUUAGCAUGUCCACUUCCCAAUCCCAUGCUGGUGAUGCUGUUUUGAAUCCCGCUCGGAGCGGGUGCGAGUAGUACCUGUUACAUUGGUGCCAUGACCCGGAUGGGAUUGAGGUUUAGGAGGGUGAGUGUAGUGGCCUCAAGAGACAAACUAGCAACUGAUGCUACAUAGCUGCGGUCUUUAGCAUACUUUUUAGCAUGUCCACUUCCCAAUCCCAUGCUGGUGAUGCUGUUUUGAAUCCCGCUCGGAGCGGGUGCGAGUAGUACCUGUUACAUUGGUGCCAUGACCCGGAUGGGAUUGAGGUUUAGGAGGGUGAGUGUAGUGGCCUCAAGAGACAAACUAGCAACUGAUGCUACAUAGCUGCGGUCUUUAGCAUACUUUUUAGCAUGUCCACUUCCCAAUCCCAUGCUGGUGAUGCUGUUUUGAAUCCCGCUCGGAGCGGGUGCGAGUAGUACCUGUUACAUUGGUGCCAUGACCCGGAUGGGAUUGAGGUUUAGGAGGGUGAGUGUAGUGGCCUCAAGAGACAAACUAGCAACUGAUGCUACAUAGCUGCGGUCUUUAGCAUCCUUUUUAGCAUGUCCACUUCCCAAUCCCAUGCCGGUGAAGCUGUUUUGAACCCGCUCGGAGCAGGUGCGAGUAGUACCUGUUACAUUGGUGCCAUGAUCCGGAUGGGAUUGAGGUUUAGGAGGGUGAUUGUAGUGGCCUCAAUAGGCAAACUAGCGACUGAUGCUACAUAGCUAUGGUCUUUAGCAUCCUUUUUUAGCGUGUCCACUUCCCAUUCCCAUGCCGGUGAUGCCAUUUUGAAUCCUGCUCGGAGCGGGUGCGAGUAGGACCUGUUACAUUGGUGCCAUGACCCAGAAGGGAUUGAGGUUUAGGAGGGUGAUUGUAGUGGCCUCAAUAGGCAAACUAGCGACUGAUGCUACAUAGCUACGGUCUUUAGCAUCCUUUUUUAGCGUGUCCACUUCCCAUUCCCAUGCCGGUGAUGCCAUUUUGAAUCCUGCUCCGAACCGGGUGCGAGUAGGACCUGUUACAUUGGUGCCAUGACCCGGAUAGGAUUGAGGUUUAGGAGGGUGAGUGUAGUGGCCUCAAGAGGCAAACUAGCAACUGAAGCUACAUAGCUGCGGUCUUUAGCUUCCUUUUUAGUGUGUCCACUUCCCAUUCUCAUGCCGGUGACGUAGGUUUGAAUCCCGCUCAGGGGUAUGUUUCCCAAAGCGAACUAUGGUCACAAAUUCUGUCGCUACCAAUAGAGUUCAAUGGGACUUACGACCAUAGUUGACUAACAAUGCUUUCGGGAAACGCACCCCUGAGCGGGUGCGAGUAGGAACAGUUGCAUUGAUACUGUGACCCGGAUGGGAGUGAGGUUUAGGAGGGUGAGUGUAGCAGGCUCAAGAUGUGACUGACGCUACAAGGCUGCAGUCUUUAGUAUCCUUGUUAGCGUGGCCGCCUCCCAUUCCUAUGCCGGUGAUAACGGUUUGAAUCCCACUUGGAGUAGGUCCUGUUACAUUGGUGCCGUGACCCAGAUGAGAGUGAGGUUUAAAAGGGUGAGUGUAAUGGAGGCCAGCUAGUAAAGAGCUGUGCAGGUAAACCUCACUACCCUGGCCUCAAGAGGUGCAUUAGCCUGACACUAGAGGCUGCGGUCUUAAGCGUCCUUGAUUGCAUGCCCAUCUCUCAUGCUGAUUUCCCUUCCGAAAGCAGCAUGUCAAAAAUAUAAUCAUAUCUAGCAACUCAUUUUUGUAUGCAUGUGUGUACGAAAAACCCCUCUUGCCUUCUGUUGAUUAAAAGUAAAAUUUGGCUCAGCCUUCAUUCUGCACCUAAUCGCAGAAGUGAAUUAUUGCGGAGCGUAAUAAACCUCCAAAAGCAUUGCCUUUGUUCCUCUUAUCAGCUCAGUUAAGCAAUUUACCUACACAUUCUCUCUCUAUAAUCACCACUAGGCUGCAAUUAUGCAGUUCUAGAAGUUUCUGAAGAGGAUUGUAAAGAGAGUAGAUGUCAUCAGAUACAGCCUGAGAAAUAAAGACUCGAGUGUGCAUGCUUAAACAUUUAAGAUGAAAUAUGUUAAGCAGGAUAUUAAUAGGCUUGCAUGCAAUUAUAUUAACUACAUCUUUUCAUAGUGUCAUAGUGACUCUUAAGAUCUUAUUCAGAUUUUCAUUUAUUGACAUCAGUGUUAUUUUAGCUUAUCAUUGAGAUACUAUUAUAGUUUUUAUUAAUAUUUUGAAUUAAAUUUCAUGUAUAUUUUCCAUUUUCAUUUUAAUUUCAGUUAGAGUAAUUUUGUUGAAGUUUUUUUUUUAUUAAAAAUGUCAAUUUUUUUUUAUUGUUUUUGUACAAGUUAAACUGAAUGAAAAUGGGAAAUGUGGCCUUGGCGACAAGCUGAAAUAAAUAGUUUUCUAUGUUUUAUUUUAAAUAUAUAUAUAUAUAUUUUUUAUGGUUUUAGUUUCAGUUAUAAUAAUAGCAACCCUGAUGCACAUUUAGUAGUUCGUUGACUAUAGGUAAAACUUUUCCAUCUGAUGCAAUAUAGUUUCACAAUCUUGAAGUAAUUCCUCAGUUUUCAUGCUUUAAUGCAGGAAAAAAUCUCCCCCGUAACUCUUCCACCCACAGAGCUGCAGUCUGAGCUUCAGCGGUAACAAACUUUAUCACUGCUUUCAUAUACAGCACUUUGGCUGCCAGCCGGCCCGUAUCAGUACAGAUUUGUGUAUCCGUUGAUUCAUGUUGGUAGAUUUCUGCUGGACUGAGUGGGGCUUCAGUAGCCGCCGGGGGCCUGAAAGAAACAGCAGGUGGGCUGGAGCUUUUAGCGGCCUGCAUUUCAGCCACAAACACCGGUCACAGUGACUCUAAUCUGUUUAUUUGGUGGACUAUUACUCUGGUAAAUAAUCUACUUGUGUGUGUGUGUGUGUGUGUGUGUUGUGUGUGUUUGACAAUUAGUCAUAUUAAUUACGAUGAAAAGUGGGCGACUUGUUCUGUUCUCUCUUGUUGUUCUUUUUAUGUUCUUGUUGUUAUUUUAUCUUCUCAGUGGGCUUGUUGUGGUUAAUGGUUCCAGGAAAAAUAAAAAUUGCUGCAGAGAAGGGUGAAAAACAUGGAGGAUGAGUUUAAAAGAUUUACCUGAUAUUCCUGUGUUUUUACUGGAGCAUCGGUACAGUAUGUGUGUUGAAAGUCACUGUAAAAAUGUUUGAAUUU